UGGGGGAUAUUGCACAAUGGGCGAAAGCCUGAUGCAGCGACGCCGCGUGGGGGAUUAAGGCUUUCGGGUUGUAAACCUCUUUCGCUAUCGAACAAGGCCCGCUUAGGGUGGGUUGAGGGUAGGUGGAGAAGAAGCGCCGGCUAACUACGUGCCAGCAGCCGCGGUAAUACGUAGGGCGCGAGCGUUGUCCGGAAUUAUUGGGCGUAAAGGGCUUGUAGGCGGCUUGUUGCGCCUGCUGUGAAAACGCGGGGCUUAACUUCGCGCGUGCAGUGGGUACGGGCAGGCUUGGGUGUGGUAGGGGUGACUGGAAUUCCAGGUGUAGCGGUGGAAUGCGCAGAUAUCUGGAGGAACACCGAUGGCGAAGGCAGGUCACUGGGCCAUUACUGACGCUGAGGAGCGAAAGCAUGGGUAGCGAACAGG
Molecule: ribosomal RNA, 420 nt
Filed under: bacterium
Lineage: Bacteria
Description: partial 16S ribosomal RNA
Rfam family: Bacterial small subunit ribosomal RNA
Source: RNAcentral